CGCAUUCUCCUCCUUCGUGUUUAUCAACAAUGAAACUGUUUCAUUAACUUCCCCCACUUUCUUCUGAUUUUUUUUUUUCUUUAAGAUUCAGAUGUUGAACUCAACUCAUGAUAGAAAUCACUUUUAUUUCUUCAAGGUUUAAAUCAUUGAAUGGAUUGGAGAUCUGAUUUUUGUAGAAACACGAAGAACCGACCGGAACUAUUUCUUCUGAGAAUUCAGAAGAGUCACUCUUGAUAUACCCGGAAACUAUUGGUGAUUAAGCGUUUCGUAUUUUGGGGUGGCUACCCAUCAUACAACACCUAAUCAAGUCGAACAGGUCAACUGUAUAGUUGGUGCAAGAUAACACUUGUGUCUCCUUACAGAGCACCAUCAGUUAAAUGCAUCGUUUGUCAGUAUGUUACGAAUACAUGGAUGAGUGCGUCAACAAAAAGUAGUAAUUAAUGACCAAGCCAAAAGGCCCAAUUGGUCCUCAACCAUGCACAAAACUCUAGUGGAUAAUAAUGAAAAGAAGGAUGCAACUGAGAACAAGGAUCCACCCAAACACGUAUUUCACAUUGUUACCAAGAGGCGUAUUUAUGCUGCAAUGAGGAUGUGGUUUCUUGCUAACUCAAGCCAAGCUUCUGUCCAAGUUAAGAACAUUGAAGAAUUUACUUGGCUGAGCGCAAGUUAUUGUCCAGUUUUGAAGCAGCUCGUAUUCUCCUUCCACGAUAGAUUAUUACUUCUUUCUUGUUUUGAACUUGAUAAUGAAGUAUGUAGCUUUUGUUGUUGAACAUGAGGAUGUUUCGGUUGUCAUUCAAGUUGAUUAAUAAAAUGGGUUAUCCUUUGUUAA
Molecule: long non-coding RNA, 829 nt
Organism: Papaver somniferum (opium poppy)
Lineage: Eukaryota; Viridiplantae; Streptophyta; Magnoliopsida; Ranunculales; Papaveraceae
Exons: 5
Source: RefSeq, a predicted model, not a curated record